This 400-nucleotide ribosomal RNA is filed under the name uncultured bacterium. RNAcentral describes it as "bacterial SSU rRNA". It matches the Rfam family "Bacterial small subunit ribosomal RNA", at positions 355 to 769 of the family's 1533-position model. The record is from RNAcentral.
UGGGGAAUUUUCCACAAUGGGCGAAAGCCUGAUGGAGCAAUACCGCGUGAAGGAAGAAGGCCUGUGGGUCGUAAACUUCUUUUCUUAAGGAAGAAUCAAUGACGGUACUUAAGGAAUAAGCACCGGCUAACCCUGUGCCAGCAGCCGCGGUAAUACAGGGGGUGCAAGCGUUGUCCGGAAUGAUUGGGCGUAAAGCAUCUGUAGGUCGUUCCUAAAGUCAACUGUUAAAUCCCAGAGCUCAACUUUGGCAAGGCAGUUGAGUACUUAGGAACUUGAGUAUAGUAGGGGUAGAGGGAAUUCCUUGUGAAGCGGUGAAAUGCACAGAGAUAAGGAAGAACACCAGUGGCGAAAGCGCUCUACUAGGCUAUGACUGACACUGAGAGAUGAAAGUUAGGGGAGC